UCCGGUUUGUCACCGGCAGUCUCAUUAGAGUGCCCUUUCGUAGCAACUAAUGACAAGGGUUGCGCUCGUUGCGGGACUUAACCCAACAUCUCACGACACGAGCUGACGACAGCCAUGCAGCACCUGUGUUGCAGUUCUCUUUCAAGCACUUCCCAAUCUCUUGGAAAUUCUGCACAUGUCAAGGGUAGGUAAGGUUUUUCGCGUUGCAUCGAAUUAAUCCACAUCAUCCACCGCUUGUGCGGGUCCCCGUCAAUUCCUUUGAGUUUUAAUCUUGCGACCGUACUCCCCAGGCGGUCUACUUCACGCGUUAGCUGCGUUACCAAGAAAAUUAAUCCCCGACAACUAGUAGACAUCGUUUAGGGCGUGGACUAC
RNAcentral lists this unclassified non-coding RNA (372 nucleotides) under uncultured Gammaproteobacteria bacterium. Its description in RNAcentral is "contains 16S-23S intergenic spacer region". Lineage: Bacteria; Pseudomonadati; Pseudomonadota; Gammaproteobacteria. The record is from RNAcentral.